This 525-nucleotide ribosomal RNA is filed under the name Triticum aestivum (bread wheat). Its description in RNAcentral is "partial small subunit ribosomal RNA". Lineage: Eukaryota; Viridiplantae; Streptophyta; Magnoliopsida; Poales; Poaceae. The record is from RNAcentral.
AUGAAACAAACAGAGGUGACAAAAGGAGCAUUGGUUGUUGUUCCAAAGGGGCGCAAACAAUGGAAUCCUUGGGGGCAUGAUGCAUACCUGGAAUCAUCAUCCAGCAAGACUGAAAAGCUGGAGAGGCUAUUUGAUUCUUCAUGCAUGGUUGCUCUCAUGCUUGAUGUGAACUGCAAACAGCAAGGAAACAACGUCGAAAUCAACACUUCAAACAGUUUUGAUUACACCGAUUCAGCCUAUCAACAUACCUCUGCUGAAAGUACGUUUGUGCCGCUCAUGUCGUCCCAGUACAUACCAACUAUUCUCUCUAGCUGCUGUAAGCUGAGAGCCUGGACAGAGAGUGAAACGAUCAAAGAUACAAAGUUGAGGACUAACAAAACAAGAUCCUUGCUCAUAGCAAAAGGCACUUACCGGACAAAUAUCAUUGCGUAUCUCCCUCCAUGUCCUCAUUUGUUUUCGGGAAAUGACCUGAUGAAUAGGAAGACCAGGAAAAUAAGUCAGUUACCGACAGUUCAGUUUGUAUAA